RNAcentral lists this non-coding RNA (51 nucleotides) under Trypanosoma brucei brucei. Lineage: Eukaryota; Euglenozoa; Kinetoplastea; Trypanosomatida; Trypanosomatidae. The record is from RNAcentral.
AACUAAAACACAGUCCGAGAGAUAGAAGUGAAUGAUGUGAAAUAAAUUAUC